GACAUAAAAGCUGUGUUAGAUGCUGUUUCCUCAUUUGCUCUCUCACUAUUCCCUAUAUAGUGUUCAUUAAAUAGUGAACUAUAUAGGGAACGACCAAAUGAGAUUUCAGACAUUGAC
Long non-coding RNA from Etheostoma cragini (Arkansas darter), 117 nucleotides. RefSeq lists it as uncharacterized. The transcript has 3 exons. The record is from RefSeq and is a predicted model, not a curated record. NCBI's taxonomy places the organism in Eukaryota, Metazoa, Chordata, Actinopteri, Perciformes, Percidae.